GAUCGGUCUGCGCAGCGCCGCAUGAAGUCAAACGCACCUGUUAUCUUCAACAGGUGUCACGUUAGGCCGGGCAUACACUGCGAUUUCCGUGCGAUUUCAUUAAGAUCAGAGUUGGCCUUUCCUCUUUUUGAUGCGAGUCUUCCUCCUGGUGUUUGCGUCAAUGAUUGACUGUGACUGGUGCUUCAGUGUGACAUGGUUGGUGACAUCACCGUCAUCGACGCCGCUGUCCUCCUCAUCUGUUGACAGAUAAGACAUGCAGCUCCUUCACGAUGGUUGCCAGAUCUUUGCCCUGUAGUUCCUCCUUUAGCAGCAUCAGUUUCUGGUCAGCCUCAGACAUCAGCUGCAGCAUGUGUUCUUCUGAGUCUAAAGGCAGCUGUGGUGAUGGAUCCUUCAUCUGCCAAAAACCAUGGAAAGUAAUGGAAAACUGCUCAGUUACAUAUAUUUCGUGAAUAAAUAAAUAAAAACUUUUCCUU
This is a long non-coding RNA of Sinocyclocheilus grahami, 473 nucleotides long. RefSeq lists it as uncharacterized. The transcript has 3 exons. The record is from RefSeq and is a predicted model, not a curated record. Lineage: Eukaryota; Metazoa; Chordata; Actinopteri; Cypriniformes; Cyprinidae.